CUCACACUCUGACACCGGCAGGUGAUCUCACCACUGGGCUCCACGGAGCAAACACCAACUGGGGCGGAAGACAGGCCAGCACAGAGUUGGGCGCAGGGGGUGGGAGGCAGAGGCGCCUGCGCAGGAGGGCGGCAGGGACUAGGGACAAACCCCAGGCCGGCAACUCUCAGCCUAGGGCCCUCUGCGCAGGGCCCUUGGCAAGGAGGGAGUGUGCCUGAGCAUGCGGGGCACUGACUGACGUCUCCAGAGCCUGCCGCCCUCCCCUCGGCGCUGCACCCCCUCCUUCCCCCUGUGGGGGCCCAGGCCCUGCUGCUGUCUGAGCCGCAGCCCCCCCACCCCCCAGCCCUCACUGCACAGGAACAUCGUCCUCCGCUCACCCUCCUAAAGGGAGCGCGCUUACAAACUCCCGGUCCAAGUGCCUUACGUAACUCUCUUGGCUGAACAUUUUUAAAAACUUCUUUCUGGAAAAACUCGGGCUACUUAAUAAGCUUCUCCAAGGUGCAUGAAAUGAGAGCUUGGCUCUCCCACUUGUACAAGCCAGGCCAGGCCCAGGCACAUGGACAGAGCCGGGGGUUCAGAAAGCUCUGGAGGGCACGCUAAGAUGCGGGUCACCGAGUUCACCCCCGUCUCUGACUCAGCAGGCCUGGGGCGGGGCCUGAGAACCUGCAUUUCCAGCAUCUUUGCAGGCGCUGCUGCCGGUCAGGACCCACACACUGAGCGUGGCGGUGCGCCCAGCAUCCCUCUGCCCAGUUCUGAGUGGGGGCGGGAAGUGGCCACGCUGGGCUGAACACCUGGAAUCAGAAGCACAGCGGCCACUGCUGGUUGGGCCGCGGUCCUGAGGACAUCCGUCUCGUCCUCUGAAACUCGAGGGAAAAGGUCUGCCGUUCCACAAGUUCAGACACAUCCUUUCAAAAGCAACUCCGGUGAUUAUGAGAAAUAUCAGAACUCCUAAAAGAGACACCAACCAGCAGUCCGAGUGUCGAUGCCUGAGUUAACAAUACAGCUCUGGCUUCUGCCGCAGGGGGAAACGCAGACGGUUUAGCUAAGAAGCCUCGAAGACCUCCACCCCAGAAAACGACUGUGUUGAAGUGGCACCUGCCCAUCCCUUCCGGGCCAAGCCCCCCCUCUCCUUAGCAGCACAGCCUGAGGUUCUGCAUCCUUCUCACGCUCCAGAUGACACUUCGGUCGUCCCAAAAGACAGACUCCGCAGUGCCCAGAGAUGCAGGACCUCGCUCUGUGAAUGUCCCAUAGAACCCCGGGGGGUUGCAUUCAUCUUCUGUCUCCCCACUGUCAGUUCCCCAGACAACACUCUCCAGACCCACCCUUAAUCUUCUUUCAAACUUUUUUCUUUCACUUUCUCAGCACAAUGUCCAAGCCCAAUAAAAGAUGAUUGUUUUGUCCUGGCUA
Molecule: long non-coding RNA, 1407 nt
Organism: Phyllostomus hastatus (greater spear-nosed bat)
Lineage: Eukaryota; Metazoa; Chordata; Mammalia; Chiroptera; Phyllostomidae
Exons: 2
Source: RefSeq, a predicted model, not a curated record